RNAcentral lists this ribosomal RNA (243 nucleotides) under uncultured bacterium. RNAcentral's name for it is "partial 16S ribosomal RNA". It matches the Rfam family "Bacterial small subunit ribosomal RNA", at positions 791 to 1035 of the family's 1533-position model. The record is from RNAcentral.
UAGUCCACGCUGUAAACGAUGAGUGCUAGGUGUCGGGGGUCAAACCUCGGUGCCGUCGUUAACACAAUAAGCACUCCGCCUGGGGAGUACGUGCGCAAGCAUGAAACUCAAAGGAAUUGACGGGGACCCGCACAAGCAGCGGAGCAUGUGGUUUAAUUCGAAGCAACGCGAAGAACCUUACCGGGACUUGAAAUAUUGUCGCCAAUUUUAGAGAUAAAAUGUUUUCUUCGGAAACGGCAAUAC